RNAcentral lists this ribosomal RNA (251 nucleotides) under uncultured bacterium. RNAcentral describes it as "partial 16S ribosomal RNA". It matches the Rfam family "Bacterial small subunit ribosomal RNA", at positions 57 to 305 of the family's 1533-position model. The record is from RNAcentral.
GCAAGUCGAGGGGUAACAUUGGUGCUUGCACCAGAUGACGACCGGCGCACGGGUGCGGAACGCGUAUGGAACCUACCUUUGUCAGGGGAAUAGCCCAGAGAAAUUUGGAUUAAUGCCCCAUAGUAUUGUUAUAACACAUGUUAUACUAAUUAAAGAUUUAUCGGACAGAGAUGGCCAUGCGUACCAUUAGUUAGUUGGUAAGGUAACGGCUUACCAAGACCGCGAUGGUUAGGGGCCCUGAGAGGGGGAUC